RNAcentral lists this ribosomal RNA (686 nucleotides) under uncultured bacterium. Its description in RNAcentral is "bacterial SSU rRNA". It matches the Rfam family "Bacterial small subunit ribosomal RNA", at positions 73 to 753 of the family's 1533-position model. The record is from RNAcentral.
UGUCUUUCGGGAUGCAAGUAAAGUGGCGCACAGGGUGAGUAACACGUAAGCAAUCUACCCUUAGGCCUGGGAUAACCCCGAGAAAUCGGGGCUAAUACCGGAUGAUGCAGCGGCACCGCAUGGUGAUGUUGUUAAAGUCUAUAUGGCGUCUAUGGAUGAGCUUGCGUCUGAUUAGCUUGUUGGUGAGGUAAUGGCUUACCAAGGCUACGAUCAGUAGCUGGUCUGAGAGGAUGAUCAGCCACACUGGAACUGAGACACGGUCCAGACUCCUACGGGAGGCAGCAGUGAGGAAUAUUGGGCAAUGGGCGAAAGCCUGACCCAGCAACGCCGCGUGGAGGAUGAAUGUCGUAAGAUUGUAAACUCCUGUUAGAGGGGAAGAAUAAUUCCGAUCAAAUCGGAACUUGACUGUACCCUCAGAGAAAGCUCCGGCUAACUACGUGCCAGCAGCCGCGGUAAUACGUAGGGAGCAAGCGUUGUCCGGAUUUACUGGGUGUAAAGGGCGCGCAGGCGGGUCAGUAAGUCAGAGGUGAAAUCCUACAGCUCAACUGUAGAACUGCCUUUGAUACUGCUGAUCUUGAGUAUGGAAGAGAGAGACGGAAUUCCAGGUGUAGUGGUGAAAUACGUAGAUAUCUGGAAGAACACCAGUUGCGAAGGCGGCCUCUUGGUCCAAUACUGACGCUGAGGCG